AGCCAUGCAUGUCUAAGUACAAACUUUUACACGGUGAAACCGCGAAUGGCUCAUUAAAUCAGUUAUGGUUUAUUAGAUGGUGCUAUCCUACUUGGAUAACUGUGGUAAUUCUAGAGCUAAUACAUGCGACAAAGCUCCGACCCUCGAUGGAAAGAGCGCUUUUAUUAGAUCAAGACCAACCGGUAUCGCCUUCGGGUGUGCCGUCGGAUUGAUGACUCUGGAUAACCUUCGCCGAUCGUAUGGCCCCGAGCCGACGACGCAUCUUUCAAAUGUCUGCCCUAUCAACUUUCGUUGGUAGGUGAUUUGCCUACCAAGGUGUUUACGGGUAACGGGGGAUCAGGGUUCGAUCCCGGAGAGGGAGCAUGAGAAACGGCUACCACAUCCAAGGAAGGCAGCAGGCGCGCAAAUUACCCACUCUUAGCACGAGGAGGUAGUGACGAAAAAUAACAAUACGGGACUCUUUCGAGGCCCCGUAAUUGGAAUGAGUACACUCUAAACCCGUUAACGAGGAUCUAUUGGAGGGCAAGUCUGGUGCCAGCAGCCGCGGUAAUUCCAGCUCCAAUAGCGUAUAUUAAAGCUGUUGCAGUUAAAAAGCUCGUAGUCGGAUUUCGGGCGGCGGCCAAUGGUUCGGCUCCGUGCCGAUACUGCUGGUCGCGGCCUCCACGCCGGUCGUCUUUCGGUGCUCUUAACUGAGUGCCUUAAGUAGCCGGAGCGUUUACUUUGAAAAAAUUAGAGUGUUCAAGGCAGGCCUCGAGCUUGAAUGAUGGUGCAUGGAAUAAUGGAAUAGGACCUCGGUUCUAUUUUGUUGGUCUUCGGAACUGGAGGUAAUGAUUAAUAGGGACGGACGGGGGCAUUCGUAUUGCGGCGUUAGAGGUGAAAUUCUUGGAUCGUCGCAAGACGGACUACUGCGAAA
Molecule: ribosomal RNA, 913 nt
Filed under: Poseidonemertes collaris
Lineage: Eukaryota; Metazoa; Nemertea; Enopla; Monostilifera; Poseidonemertidae
Description: SSU rRNA
Rfam family: Eukaryotic small subunit ribosomal RNA
Source: RNAcentral